RNAcentral lists this ribosomal RNA (404 nucleotides) under Verrucomicrobiota bacterium. RNAcentral describes it as "Verrucomicrobia bacterium partial 16S ribosomal RNA". It matches the Rfam family "Bacterial small subunit ribosomal RNA", at positions 355 to 776 of the family's 1533-position model. Lineage: Bacteria; Pseudomonadati; Verrucomicrobiota. The record is from RNAcentral.
UGGGGAAUAUUGCACAAUGGGCGCAAGCCUGAUGCAGCAACGCCGCGUGAACGAUGAAGGUCUUCGGAUCGUAAAGUUCUGUUGCAGGGGAAGAUAAUGACGGUACCCUGUGAGGAAGCCCCGGCUAACUACGUGCCAGCAGCCGCGGUAAUACGUAGGGGGCUAGCGUUGUCCGGAAUUAUUGGGCGUAAAGCGCGCGCAGGUGGUUUAGAAAGUCUGAUGUGAAAGCCCACGGCUCAACCGUGGAGGGUCAUUGGAAACUAAUAAACUUGAGUGCAGGAGAGAAAAGUGGAAUUCCUAGUGUAGCGGUGAAAUGCGUAGAGAUUAGGAGGAACACCGGUGGCGAAAGCGGCUUUUUGGCCUGCAACUGACACUGAGGCGCGAAAGCGUGGGGAGCAAACAGG